Molecule: ribosomal RNA, 249 nt
Filed under: uncultured bacterium
Lineage: Bacteria
Description: partial 16S ribosomal RNA
Rfam family: Bacterial small subunit ribosomal RNA
Source: RNAcentral
UACGGAGGGCGAGCGUUGUUCGGAAUUACUGGGCGUAAAGGGCGUGUAGGCGGACUGUUAAGUUAGGGUGAAUCCCAGGGCUCAACCCUGGAACUGCCUCUAAUACUGGCGGUCUUGAGAUUUGGAGAGGUGUGUGGAAUUCCUAGUGUAGAGGUGAAAUUCGUAGAUAUUAGGAAGAACACCAGUGGCGAAGGCGGCACACUGGCCAACAUCUGACGCUGAGGCGCGAAAGCGUGGGGAGCAAACAGG